This 496-nucleotide ribosomal RNA is filed under the name uncultured bacterium. RNAcentral's name for it is "partial 16S ribosomal RNA". It matches the Rfam family "Bacterial small subunit ribosomal RNA", at positions 28 to 506 of the family's 1533-position model. The record is from RNAcentral.
GAUGAACGCUGGCGGCGUGCCUAAUACAUGCAAGUCGAGCGAACAGACGAGGAGCUUGCUCCUCUGACGUUAGCGGCGGACGGGUGAGUAGCACGUGGAUAACCUACCUAUAAGACUGGGAUAACUUCGGGAAACCGGAGCUAAUACCGGAUAAUAUAUUGAACCGCAUGGUUCAAUAGUGAAAGACGGUUUUGCUGUCACUUAUAGAUGGAUCCGCGCCGCAUUAGCUAGUUGGUAAGGUAACGGCUUACCAAGGCAACGAUGCGUAGCCGACCUGAGAGGGUGAUCGGCCACACUGGAACUGAGACACGGUCCAGACUCCUACGGGAGGCAGCAGUAGGGAAUCUUCCGCAAUGGGCGAAAGCCUGACGGAGCAACGCCGCGUGAGUGAUGAAGGUCUUCGGAUCGUAAAACUCUGUUAUUAGGGAAGAACAAAUGUGUAAGUAACUAUGCACGUCUUGACGGUACCUAAGCAGAAAGCCACGGCUAACUACGU